RNAcentral lists this ribosomal RNA (469 nucleotides) under uncultured bacterium. RNAcentral's name for it is "partial 16S ribosomal RNA". It matches the Rfam family "Bacterial small subunit ribosomal RNA", at positions 28 to 508 of the family's 1533-position model. The record is from RNAcentral.
GACGAACGCUGGCGGCGUGCUUAACACAUGCAAGUCGAACGGAAAGGCCCUGCUUUUGUGGGGUGCUCGAGUGGCGAACGGGUGAGUAACACGUGAGUAACCUGCCCUUGACUUUGGGAUAACUUCAGGAAACUGGGGCUAAUACCGGAUAGGAGCUCCUGCUGCAUGGUGGGGGUUGGAAAGUUUCGGCGGUUGGGGAUGGACUCGCGGGUUGUCAGCUUGUUGGUGGGGUAGUGGCUUACCAAGGCUUUGACGGGUAGCCGGCCUGGGAGGGUGACGGGCAACAUUGGGACUGGGAUACGGCCCAGACUCCGACGGGAGGCAGAGGUGGGGAAGGUUGAUCAAUGGGCGGAAGCCUGAUGCAGCAACGCCGCGGGCGGGAGGACGGUCUUCGGGUUGUAAACCGCGUUCGCCUGUGACGAAGCGUGAGUGACGGUAAUGGGUAAAGAAGCACCGGCUAACUACGGGC